This is a long non-coding RNA of Candoia aspera, 617 nucleotides long. RefSeq lists it as uncharacterized. NCBI's taxonomy places the organism in Eukaryota, Metazoa, Chordata, Lepidosauria, Squamata, Candoiidae. The record is from RefSeq and is a predicted model, not a curated record. The transcript is spliced from 5 exons.
CUUUGCACCACAAAGGGGACUAUAACUCAUCGGACCUGAUGACGUGGAAAAGGGUGACAUUGUAGAGUAUUUGGUGGCCAUUGUUCCACGCGUAGAGCGCUCUGUCCUUGGGGUUGUAGUCCAGCAUGGAAAUAUGAGCCAAGGGAUCUGUCAUCCAGGAGCCAAACCUUGAACCAGAAGUCUUUACGGUUAUGGGGUCACUUAUUGCAGUCAAUUUCCCACACGCUGCAAGAUAGUUGAACACAACGAAAAUGCAAAACUCAUUUCUGGGAUACCCAGCCUUGAAAGAGUAAUAAAUUGGCAACCCUCUGGAACCAAUCCAGUGGAUAUGGUGAGAGAUACAUCCCCUUCUCUGGUAGGUUAGCAAGAGCCACAACGCCAAGUUACCUUUUCCAAAAGCUGCCGUAGCUGCUUUGUUCUGGCAUCCCGUGAGCACAUCGUCUGUUGAGGCGCCACCACUGUGCAUAUGCAUCGUCCUUCACUAUCCUGAGCAGAACUGUACACCUGCCAGCUUUCCUCGGGGUUGGGACCAGAGCCCAUGUGCACCCAACAUGUGAAUUCAUCACUGCUUGUAUGGGAAAAGUUUUGACCGAUUUGAUUUCCCCACAAUUACAGCA